Archocentrus centrarchus (flier cichlid) is the source of this 530-nucleotide long non-coding RNA. RefSeq lists it as uncharacterized. The transcript has 6 exons. The record is from RefSeq and is a predicted model, not a curated record. Lineage: Eukaryota; Metazoa; Chordata; Actinopteri; Cichliformes; Cichlidae.
UAUAAAACAGCAGUGGGCCUCCCACUCUCUCUCUUCCUCUUUGAGUCUUCCAAACGGCCAGAUGUACCGCAAGAAAGAAUAUCGGGUUAACUUAAAAAGGCAGCUCAAUCAAGUGUCCCACCAUACAGGAUGCUGGCAUUUGGGUGACGCCAAAGGUAAAGGUGCAAGGACAAAAGCAUCAAAUGAAAGGACAACAUGAAGAAUGAAGACGUUAUUUAUGGAUGACCAAGUUUGGUGGCUGAAAACUGCUCACUCCGGCACCUGUCUGCCUAUAUGAGCUUAUCUGGUAAUGAGCUGUAACUGAGGCCAUGUACAUGGGACUUACAGGGUGGAGGGAAAUGACAUGCCCAUGAAUCAACUGCUGCAGACUGUCCAACUAGGUGGGAACACUGCUGCAGUAGACCAACUUGCACCUGAAGCGUGACUGUAGUAGCGUAAUGGCUCCCUUUUUAAGGAAGCUGUAAUCAAAUAUUAACUCUGUAAAUGUGACGAUCAUAGAAUGUAAAUAAAACCGACACUUCUACCUCGGA